GAAGGAAUAUUGCCCAAUGGGGGAAACCCUGAGGCAGCAACGCCGCGUGAGCGAUGAAGGCCUUCGGGUCGUAAAGCUCUUUUCUGUGGGAAGAGGAAGGACGGUACCACAGGAACAAGUCUCGGCUAACUACGUGCCAGCAGCCGCGGUAAAACGUAGGAGGCAAGCGUUAUCCGGAUUCACUGGGCGUAAAGGGCAAGUAGGCGGUAGCUCAAGUUGGGCGUGACAUCCCCUGGCUUAACUGGGGGGGGUCGUUCAAAACUGGGUUACUGGAGGGCAGGAGAGGGAAGUGGAAUUCCUAGUGUAGCGGUGGAAUGCUCAGAUAUUAGGAAGAACACCAGUGGCGAAGGCGACUUCCUGGCCUGCACCUGACGCUGAGAGGCGAAAGCUAGGGGAGCGAACGGG
Molecule: ribosomal RNA, 405 nt
Filed under: uncultured bacterium
Lineage: Bacteria
Description: bacterial SSU rRNA
Rfam family: Bacterial small subunit ribosomal RNA
Source: RNAcentral